UACGGGGGGAGCAAGCGUUGUUCGGAUUUACUGGGCGUAAAGGGCGCGUAGGCGGUCAGCACAAGUCAGUUGUGAAAUCUCCGGGCUUAACUCGGAAAGGUCAACUGAUACUGUGCGACUAGAGUGCAGAAGGGGCAACUGGAAUUCUCGGUGUAGCGGUGAAAUGCGUAGAUAUCGGGAGGAACACCUGCGGCGAAGGCGGGUUGCUGGGCUGACACUGACGCUGAUGCGCGAAAGCCAGGGGAGCGAACGGG
This 254-nucleotide ribosomal RNA is filed under the name uncultured bacterium. RNAcentral's name for it is "partial 16S ribosomal RNA". It matches the Rfam family "Bacterial small subunit ribosomal RNA", at positions 524 to 776 of the family's 1533-position model. The record is from RNAcentral.